GACGAACGCUGGCGGCGUGCUUAACACAUGCAAGUCGAACGGACAGGCCCUGCUUUUGUGGGGUGCACGAGUGGCGAACGGGUGCGUAAGACGUGAGUACCCUGCCCUAGCCUUUGGGAUAACUUCAGGAAACUGGGGCUAAUACCGGCUAGGACCUCAUGCUGCUUGGUGGGGGUUGGAAAGUUGUGGCGGUUGGGGAUGGCAUCGCGGCUUAUCAGCCUGUUGGUGGGGUAGCGGCUUACCAAGGUUUGGACGGGUAGCCGGCCUGAGAGGGUGACCGGCCACAGUGGGACUGAGAUACGGCCCAGACUGCUACGGGAGGCAGCAGUGGGGAAUAUUGCACGAUGGGCGGAAGCCUGAUGCAGCAACGCCGCGUGCGGGAUGACGGCCUUCGGGUUGUAACCCGCUUUCGCCUGUGACGAAGCGUGAGUGACGGUAAUGUGUAAAGAAGCACCGGCUAACUACGUG
RNAcentral lists this ribosomal RNA (468 nucleotides) under uncultured bacterium. RNAcentral describes it as "partial 16S ribosomal RNA". It matches the Rfam family "Bacterial small subunit ribosomal RNA", at positions 28 to 507 of the family's 1533-position model. The record is from RNAcentral.